RNAcentral lists this long non-coding RNA (557 nucleotides) under Homo sapiens (human). Its description in RNAcentral is "HSALNT0316271". Lineage: Eukaryota; Metazoa; Chordata; Mammalia; Primates; Hominidae. The record is from RNAcentral.
AGAGAGUACGUAUGGAACAGAUAAAUAUCUGAUUGCCUCCUUUACUGUAUGUUUUCCACUGAGAUGAAGAUUUUGGUCAUUUCCUCAUUCAUGUUCCUGCUUUUCAAAACCCAAGCAAGAAAGGAAACUUCUACAGUGACUUUCUCAUUAUGAAAUCUUAGCAUUCACUAGUCGGCCAUAAUGGAAAACCAGCCAAAUGGACACAUAUACACUGGUCUGUACCCGCAGAGAAAGAAAUGCAAAUCUCUGUGAUCAGAAAACUAUCCUAUCUUGUACAUUGUUAAAAGUCUGCCUCCAAAAAGUUUACUUCUGGAAUACUGUAAUUGAAUAGAAUCAGGGAUCCUACCUGUGUCCUUCAACUUUCACAUCUUGUCUACUCAAGUAAGGGUUGAAUUUGCAUGACUAUAUCUAAGGUUCGAGGGCUUACCUGUUGGCAGUAGACCCAGUAGUCUAUGAAUGGAAAUGGGCAAACCUGUGACCUCCCAAAACUUUAAUAUGAAAGUUUUGUUUGUGUAUACUCAUGGCAUUAUUCUUUUAAUAAAGAGAUAAUCUAUAUA